Molecule: ribosomal RNA, 497 nt
Filed under: uncultured bacterium
Lineage: Bacteria
Description: partial 16S ribosomal RNA
Rfam family: Bacterial small subunit ribosomal RNA
Source: RNAcentral
GAUGAACGCUGGCGGCGUGCCUAAUACAUGCAAGUCGAGCGAACAGAUAAGGAGCUUGCUCCUUUGACGUUAGCGGCGGACGGGUGAGUAACACGUGGGUAACCUACCUAUAAGACUGGAAUAACUCCGGGAAACCGGGGCUAAUGCCGGAUAACAUUUAGAACCGCAUGGUUCUAAAGUGAAAGAUGGUUUUGCUAUCACUUAUAGAUGGACCCGCGCCGUAUUAGCUAGUUGGUAAGGUAACGGCUUACCAAGGCAACGAUACGUAGCCGACCUGAGAGGGUGAUCGGCCACACUGGAACUGAGACACGGUCCAGACUCCUACGGGAGGCAGCAGUAGGGAAUCUUCCGCAAUGGGCGAAAGCCUGACGGAGCAACGCCGCGUGAGUGGUGAAGGUCUUCGGAUCGUAAAACUCUGUUAUUAGGGAAGAACAAAUGUGUAAGUAACUGUGCACGUCUUGACGGUACCUAAUCAGAAAGCCACGGCUAACUACGUG